This 378-nucleotide ribosomal RNA is filed under the name Salmonella enterica subsp. enterica serovar Virchow. RNAcentral's name for it is "partial 23S ribosomal RNA". It matches the Rfam family "Bacterial large subunit ribosomal RNA", at positions 911 to 1285 of the family's 2925-position model. The record is from RNAcentral. Lineage: Bacteria; Pseudomonadati; Pseudomonadota; Gammaproteobacteria; Enterobacterales; Enterobacteriaceae.
UGUUUCGGCUAGGGGGCCAUCCCGGCUUACCAACCCGAUGCAAACUGCGAAUACCGGAGAAUGUUAUCACGGGAGACACACGGCGGGUGCUAACGUCCGUCGUGAAGAGGGAAACAACCCAGACCGCCAGCUAAGGUCCCAAAGUCAUGGUUAAGUGGGAAACGAUGUGGGAAGGCCCAGACAGCCAGGAUGUUGGCUUAGAAGCAGCCAUCAUUUAAAGAAAGCGUAAUAGCUCACUGGUCGAGUCGGCCUGCGCGGAAGAUGUAACGGGGCUAAACCAUGCACCGAAGCUGCGGCAGCGACACUCAGGUGUUGUUGGGUAGGGGAGCGUUCUGUAAGCCUGUGAAGGUGGCCUGUGAGGGUUGCUGGAGGUAUCAG